RNAcentral lists this ribosomal RNA (178 nucleotides) under uncultured Porphyrobacter sp. RNAcentral's name for it is "partial 16S ribosomal RNA". It matches the Rfam family "Bacterial small subunit ribosomal RNA", at positions 1204 to 1382 of the family's 1533-position model. The record is from RNAcentral. Lineage: Bacteria; Pseudomonadati; Pseudomonadota; Alphaproteobacteria; Sphingomonadales; Erythrobacteraceae.
CAGGCUGGGCGUACACACGUGCUACAAUGGCAUCUACAGUGGGCAGCUAUUCCGCAAGGAUGCGCUAAUCUCCAAAAGAUGUCUCAGUUCGGAUUGUCCUCUGCAACUCGAGGGCAUGAAGGCGGAAUCGCUAGUAAUCGCGGAUCAGCAUGCCGCGGUGAAUACGUUCCCAGGCCUU